This 253-nucleotide ribosomal RNA is filed under the name uncultured bacterium. Its description in RNAcentral is "partial 16S ribosomal RNA". It matches the Rfam family "Bacterial small subunit ribosomal RNA", at positions 524 to 776 of the family's 1533-position model. The record is from RNAcentral.
UACGGAGGGGGCUAGCGUUAUUCGGAAUUAUUGGGCGUAAAGGGCGCGUAGGCGGCCCGGUAAGUCAAAGGUGAAAUCCCUCGGCUCAACUGAGGAACUGCCUUUGAAACUGUCGGGCUUGAGGCCGGGAGGGGGUAGCGGAAUUCCCAGUGUAGCGGUGAAAUGCGUAGAUAUUGGAAGGAACACCAGUGGCGAAGGCGACUAUCUGGACAGAUACUGACACUGAGACACGAAAGCGUGGGGAGCAAACAGG